CAAUUUCCUGUCGCACCGUAUAAAUAAAUGUACAUGUGCAGCGGCGUUGUAUACUGCAUGUUGGUAAGACCAGAUAUCAGUACUCGUCAAGCCAAGGUUAGUCAAGGCCACGGGUGCGCUGUCCACUUUGCAGGCAAGCUCACGGCCUCACGGGAGGCCGACGAAGUCGUAGCAGAGAUCCGAUACAUGGGAGAGGAAGAGGGCGCGCCCACCGUGGCAGCAGCGGCAGAGAGCGCUCCGCCGCACCUGCUCCUGAUAUGCUUCCCGGGGCAGGGCCACGUGAACCCGAUGCUCCGCCUGGCCAAGCGCAUCGCGGCCAAGGGCCUCCUGGUGACCUUCUCCUCGAUCUCCAGAGUCGGGGCGAUGCUCGCCGCGUCCGUGGGCGUGUCGGCCGGCGGUGACGGCGUGCCUGUGGGCCGGGGCCGCGUCCGGUUCGAGUUCAUGGACGAUGAAGACCCCGGGCCUGACCUGGACGACCUCUUGCGGCACCUCGCGAAGGACGGCCCGCCGGCGUUUGCCGAGCUGCUGGAGCGGCAGGCGGACGCCGGGCGGCCUGUGGCGUGCGUGGUGGUAAACCCGUUCAUGCCGUGGGCGGUCGACGUGGCCGCCGACGCGGGGAUCCCUUCGGCGGUGCUGUGGGUGCAGUCGUGCGCGGUGUUCUCCCUCUACUACCACCACGUGCACGGCCUCGUGGAGUUCCCUCCCGAGGACGACCUGGACGCGCGGUUCACGCUGCCUGGCCUCCCCGAGAUGUCCGUCGCCGACGUUCCGUCGUUCCUGCUCCCGUCCAACCCGUACAAGCUGCUGGUGGACGCGAUCAUCGCCCAGUUCCACACCAUCGACCGCGCGUCGUGGGUGCUCGUCAACUCCUUCACGGAGCUGGAACCCGACGUGGCGGCGGCGCUCCCGGGCGUGACGCCGCGGCCGCCAGAGCUCAUCCCCGUGGGCCCGCUCAUCGAGGUCGACGAGCAGCACGACGGCGACGGCGACGGCGCGGGGUCGGGCGCGGUGCGUGGCGACCUGAUGAAGGCCGCGGACGACUGCGUGGAGUGGCUAGACGCGCAGGCGCCGCGCUCCAUGGUGUACGCAUCGGUGGGCAGCGUGGUACGGCUCAACGCGGAGGAGGUGGGCGAGAUGGCGCACGGGCUCGCGUCCACGGGGCGGCCCUUCCUGUGGGUUGUCCGUCCCGAUACCCGGCCGCUCCUCCCAGAGGGAUUCCUGGACUCCGUGGCCGGGCGCGGCACGGUGGUGCCGUGGAGCCCCCAGGACCGCGUGCUGGCGCACCCGUCCAUCGCCUGCUUCCUGACGCACUGCGGCUGGAACUCUACCCUGGAGACCAUCGCAGCGGGCGUACCAGUGGUGGCCUUCCCGCAGUGGGGCGACCAGUGCACUGACGCCAAGUUCCUGGUGGAGGAACUCAGGAUUGGGGUCCGCCUCCGCGGGCCGCUGCGGCGGGACGCCGUGCGGGAGGCGGUAGACGCCGCCGUGGCGGGGCCCGAGGCCGACGCGAUGCUCGCCAACGCCAGGAGGUGGAGCGCGGCGGCGCGGGAGGCCGUGGCGCUCGGCGGGUCCUCGGACGCGCAUAUCCAAGCGUUCGUGGACGAGGUGGCCCGGCGAGCAUGUGUCGUGCCGCCGUCGUCAGAGAUUCCUAGUCCUAGUUGAGGUCGAGGAGCUUCAGCAGUCACCCUCACCGGACAAAGAUGUUAACGAGACUCGAGAGGAGGAGGCGAGGGGUGAGGAUGCGGCUGAUUACGAUGCGGCCGAUGCAGACUAUGAGCAGGAAGAUGAUGCUGGAGGUGGAGGUGGAGAUGGGUGGUCUUCCGGUGGUGGUCAGUUUGAGGGUGGAUGGUCAGCAGGCGGAUGGGACUCAUGGCCUAGCAGUGAUGCUGGAGCUUCUAGUGGUGGAGGGUCUUCUCGGGCACGGAAGUCGAGGAAAACACAUUGGGUGCCUCCUCCUAAAGUUCCUGCUCGUGAGGAGGAUAAGAUUUUGAUCGUACCGUGUGGCGACGAGUCUUGGAUUGAUGCAUCUUUUCAAGGUCAAGGACGUCGCACACAGGUGAAUAAAGUUUUGGGAAGUAUAUGCAAAUAUCUCUGGCCUGGUGUAGUGAUGGAGAAAGGCGUUGAGGUGCCUUGUAUGUCUUGGGAUCAGUACGGGCUCGCGUUCAAUGCGGAACAUAGGAAUGCCCAAGGUGCUGUGUGGCAUGAGUUCUGGAAACGUUACAAGUUGCCUGAAGAUGGAAGUAUGAACGAUCGUGCACGGAUCGUUUUUAACAAGAGCGCGACUACCUUGGUUAGGGAUCAGAUGUAUUAUGCUCGGAUCCAGGCCACUUCUGAUUACAUAUUAAGGCAGGAAGGACGUCGGCCACGUUCCAAAAGUGAGGCAUCAAACAAAUACUUAACCGAAGAAGAAUAUCUUGAGUUUUCAGACUCGGUGCCAUGGAUGGCAUCAAAUGAGGCUGGUUGGCGGGCUGUAUGCAAAUAUUGGGCAACAGAUGGAUUUAAAGGUGUUUCAAUGAGAAACAGCUCAAAUCGUGGGCAUGAUGUUCACCACAGAUAUGGUGGUGAUGGCCACGUUCGUUUGGCAAAGCGCAUGGAAGCUAGUUCUGGUGUUACGCCGAGUGAUGUUCAGGUUUACCUUAGAGGUCACAGGGGGUCGGAUCCUACAAAUCCAGAACAGUUGUGUUCUCAGUCAGCUGCUGAGCGUGUGGCCUCAUAUGGUGCUUCCAUGAUGUCGGAGCAUGGGCAAGACUAUGAUUGGAUGAAUCAGCCUAUCGAUCCUCAGGUUGUGUAUGCUAGUGGAGGCGGAAAACCUCAUGGACGUUACCCCAUGUUUGGUAGUGUUAUCGACUCGACUCAGGUGAGGCCUGAAAGGUCUCGUCCAUCGAGGUCGUCUAGCCGUGGUCCUCGCUCUAGUACCCAAGGAAACGCCGAGCUGAUCCGGAUGCAGGAAGCUUUGAGGCGGCAGGAGGAGUAUAACAAGCAACAACAAGAGUACUGGGCUGCUCAAUUUGCACGACAGCAGGAGAUGAUGCAGCAAAUAGCACUAGGGCAACGUCCAGAUUUUUCAGCGAUGACUAUGCCACCUCCUCCACCUAUCCCGCAGUUUGUACCGACUCCACAAUUUAGUUGGCCCACACCUGCACCUCAG
Molecule: RNA transcript, 3148 nt
Organism: Zea mays
Lineage: Eukaryota; Viridiplantae; Streptophyta; Magnoliopsida; Poales; Poaceae
Gene name: limonoid UDP-glucosyltransferase
Exons: 9
Source: RefSeq, marked provisional